UAGUACAACCGAGGUGCGGAGGGCUGUCGCUGACUUUUUGUCGUGCACGCCCGAAGUGCUCUCACACAAUAUCCAUCUCACCCAUUUGUGCAUCAUCGCGUGGGUCCUGCUUUUUGGCUUGUUCCGAGGAGGGGGGCUCGCGUUUUCACACAACCCCCCCUUUAAAAAGCGUAGAAUGCAUUUGUUAUUGAAAUCAAUA
Molecule: unclassified non-coding RNA, 199 nt
Filed under: uncultured Russulaceae
Lineage: Eukaryota; Fungi; Basidiomycota; Agaricomycetes; Russulales; Russulaceae
Description: sequence contains ITS1
Source: RNAcentral